AUGAAAGCUCUAUCUUUAAUAACAAAAAAGUUAUGCAAAAUUUUCGAUCUAAAAAUGUACAUGUUAAUCGUAAAAAACCGAAAUUUCGAUUUUUCUCAAUAACUAUAAUUUUUUCAAUUUUGAUAAUUAUGUGCAAGGUGCCCCUUUGCGAGGAGUACUUGGCAGUUUUUAAAUGAAAGCUCUAUCUUUAAUAACAAAAAAGUUAUGCAAAAUUUUCGAUCUAAAAAAGUACAUGUUAAUCGUAAAAAACCGAAAUUUCGAUUUUUCUCAAAAACUAUAAUUUUUUCAAUUUUGAUAAUUAUGUGCAAGGUGCCCCUUUGCGAGGAGUACCUGGCAGUUUUUAAAUGAGAGCUCUAUCUUUAAUAACAAAAAAGUUAUGCAAAAUUUUCGAUCUAAAAAUGUACAUGUUAAUCGUAAAAAACCUAAAUUUCGAUUUUUCCCAAAAA
Anthonomus grandis grandis is the source of this 446-nucleotide long non-coding RNA. RefSeq lists it as uncharacterized. The record is from RefSeq and is a predicted model, not a curated record. Lineage: Eukaryota; Metazoa; Arthropoda; Insecta; Coleoptera; Curculionidae. The transcript is spliced from 3 exons.